GGCAUUAAGGUGGGUGGAAUAAUAUAACAAUUCACUCUUGUUAUAGUAUUCCACCUACCCUGAUUCC
Danio rerio (zebrafish) is the source of this 67-nucleotide non-coding RNA. The record is from Rfam. Lineage: Eukaryota; Metazoa; Chordata; Actinopteri; Cypriniformes; Danionidae.